This 76-nucleotide transfer RNA is filed under the name Alphaproteobacteria bacterium. Its description in RNAcentral is "tRNA-Ala". It matches the Rfam family "tRNA". Rfam says of the family: Transfer RNA (tRNA) molecules are approximately 80 nucleotides in length. Their secondary structure includes four short double-helical elements and three loops (D, anti-codon, and T loops). The record is from RNAcentral. Lineage: Bacteria; Pseudomonadati; Pseudomonadota; Alphaproteobacteria. RNAcentral also lists the same sequence under 3 other names.
GGGGCUGUAGCUCAAUUGGGAGAGCGCCUGCUUUGCAAGCAGGAGGUCGUCGGUUCGAUUCCGUCCAGCUCCACCA